GACGAACGCUGGCGGCGUGCCUAACACAUGCAAGUCGAGCGGGAUCCAUCUGGUGGCAACACCGGGGAAGAUCUAGCGGCGAACGGGUGAGUAACACGUGAGAAACCUGCCCCGAACUUCGGGAUAACACGGGGAAACCCGUGCUAAUACCGAAUACCCUCUACCGGUCGCAUGGCCGGAAGCGGAAAGAUCCAUCGGUUCGGGAGGGUCUCCCGGCGUAUCAGCUAGUUGGCGGGGUAACGGCCCACCAAGGCAUCGACGGGUAGCUGGGGUGAGAGGACGGUCAGCCACGCGGGGACUGAGAGACGGCCCAGACUCCUACGGAGGGCAGCAGUGGGGAAUCUUGCGAAAUGGGCGAAAGGCUGACGCAGCAACGCCGCGUGCGGGAUGAAGGCCGUCGGGUUGGAAACCGCUUUCAGCAGGGAAGAAAAUGACGGUACCUGCAGAAGAAGCCCCGGCCAACUACGUGCCAGCAGCCGCCGUAA
RNAcentral lists this ribosomal RNA (485 nucleotides) under uncultured bacterium. RNAcentral describes it as "partial 16S ribosomal RNA". It matches the Rfam family "Bacterial small subunit ribosomal RNA", at positions 28 to 523 of the family's 1533-position model. The record is from RNAcentral.